GGGGGCGUAUUGGUUUCGACGGGAUUAUUGAAGCAAGAGUAGCGGGUAGAGGAUUCUCGUUGGCCUCUUUAAAAAACGAGAGCUAAAAAUAAACGCAAACAACGAUAACUACGCUUUAGCUGCUGCGUAAGUAACACGCAGCCCGUCGGCCCCGGGGUUCCUGCGCCUCGGGAUACCGGCGUCAUCAAGGCAGGGAACCAGCCGGAUCAGGCUUCAGGUCCGGUGGGAUUUAAUGAAGCUACCGACUUAUAAAGCCUGUCUCUGGGCGUUAUAAGAAGGGAAUGUCAAAACAGAGACUGCACCCGGAGAAGCUCUUGUGGAUAUGGUUCCGGACACGAGUUCGAUUCUCGUCGCCUCCACCA
This is a non-coding RNA of 362 nucleotides. It matches the Rfam family "transfer-messenger RNA". Rfam says of the family: Bacterial tmRNA, also known as 10Sa RNA or SsrA, is named for its dual tRNA and mRNA-like properties. Its role is to liberate the mRNA from a stalled ribosome. The record is from Rfam.